GGUGGAGCAUGUGGUUUAAUUCGAUGCAACGCGAAGAACCUUACCUGGUCUUGACAUCCAGAGAACUUUCCAGAGAUGGAUUGGUGCCUUCGGGAACUGUGAGACAGGUGCUGCAUGGCUGUCGUCAGCUCGUGUUGUGAAAUGUUGGGUUAAGUCCCGCAACGAGCGCAACCCUUAUCCUUUGUUGCCAGCGGUUAGGCCGGGAACUCAAAGGAGACUGCCAGUGAUAAACUGGAGGAAGGUGGGGAUGACGUCAAGUCAUCAUGGCCCUUACGACCAGGGCUACACACGUGCUACAAUGGCGCAUACAAAGAGAAGCGACCUCGCGAGAGCAAGCGGACCUCAUAAAGUGCGUCGUAGUCCGGAUUGGAGUCUGCAACUCGACUCCAUGAAGUCGGAAUCGCUAGUAAUCGUAGAUCAGAAUGCUACGGUGAAUACGU
Molecule: ribosomal RNA, 440 nt
Filed under: Enterobacter sp.
Lineage: Bacteria; Pseudomonadati; Pseudomonadota; Gammaproteobacteria; Enterobacterales; Enterobacteriaceae
Description: bacterial SSU rRNA
Rfam family: Bacterial small subunit ribosomal RNA
Source: RNAcentral